This 356-nucleotide transfer-messenger RNA is filed under the name Aquimonas voraii. Its description in RNAcentral is "Standard tmRNA". It matches the Rfam family "transfer-messenger RNA". Rfam says of the family: Bacterial tmRNA, also known as 10Sa RNA or SsrA, is named for its dual tRNA and mRNA-like properties. Its role is to liberate the mRNA from a stalled ribosome. Lineage: Bacteria; Pseudomonadati; Pseudomonadota; Gammaproteobacteria; Lysobacterales; Lysobacteraceae. The record is from Rfam by way of RNAcentral.
GGGGGCGACCAGGCUUCGACGGGGGUGUGAAACCGGAGGUGCGUGUCGAGGGGGCAGCUUUCCUCGUUAAUCCAGCGGCAAACAAGCUAGUUGCGAACGACGACAACUACGCACUCGCCGCCUAAAUAGGCGAGUCCGACUCCCAUCGGUGCCUGUAACGGUGGAUCAGUCGGUCAUAUUUACGGGAUCGUCCGAAGGCUGCUGUCUGACAGCCAAGGCCUAAAACUUCCAGACUGGUUCCGGGGUGCUCUUCGUGCGCUGUGUUGCCCCGGAACGAGACCUGACAACGCACUACACACGUAGGGCCAAAGAUGUAAUGCCUUCGGACGGGGGUUCGAUUCCCCCCGCCUCCACCA